AUGCUAUUCAAGUUAUAUUUAUGGUGUCAUUAUGCUCAGACCUUCUAACGACCCGUAAUAAUGCAUCAGAAUCAUAGCCUUAGCUGUUCCCUGGGUGGUAGACACAGAGAUGGCCUCCAACCCCCAGGAACCCCCCGGGUGUCCCCAUACGGACCUAUGUGAGGCUUUAGCUCAGAUAUGCGUACCAUAUACACGACCGUCAGUGGGACUGCGGCGUCAGAGAGUAGACAAAUACUGAACCUUGGAGCCAGCAUCUACUUGGUCAUCGUAGCCAACAACCAUCUUUGAAACUAACCUGUCCGAAUUACAAGACUGACCACGUUCCUCCAUUCCUCACAAUUGUGCCCAGGCACGAUGAACAAAGUUACACGUAACUCUCAGAGAAGAGGACAUAUUCACCGUUACCAAACACUUGGAUAAAGCAUUGUACUCAGAUUAUAAAAAGAACCC
RNAcentral lists this long non-coding RNA (450 nucleotides) under Mustela putorius furo (domestic ferret). Its description in RNAcentral is "lncRNA (ENSMPUG00000030415.1)". Lineage: Eukaryota; Metazoa; Chordata; Mammalia; Carnivora; Mustelidae. The record is from RNAcentral.